GAACCUGCUAAGGUUUGUAUCUAUGGGGUACUUCAGUCAAAAGUUAUAGAUCAGUGAAGGACCUGUGACUGCUGCUCUAUGUUUGUAUUUGGUACAGGUCAGUCGGCACAGGUCAAUCUAAUCUAUCUAACCCAUAUUUGAGUAACUGUACCAGCUCAAGCACCUUGAUCUGGAUUAGUCAACACCACCCCUUGGUGGCUGAGGAGUCCGUGGAUGCUCAUGUACCGAGUUGAGUUGUUUUACUUUUGAUUUACUAACUCAUUAAACUUUCCAAAGAGGGACAAAAGACGCAUGUACAAGAAAAAAUCAAACAAGGUGGGCUUGCACCAGAUGGAGAACAGCAAAUCAUAUCCCGAACCAUAAUCAUUGUCCGAUAGCUUUACAUAAAUCAAACUCUGCGGUCUCAAACCCCAGUUGUUUGCCUACCAUUGGUACCAAGCCAUGGCAAUGAUGAAAAUGUCAUCCAUGUCCAAUCACCUGUUGAAGGACGCGUUGUUAGAGAGCAGCUGCAUGGUUGUAGUUUGGUUCUGUGGAACUUGAUGGAUCUUCCAUUUGCUGAAACUCCUGCUUCAAGUUCUGCAAUGGAUCAAGAGGUUUUUGAGUUGUUGCUUUGCCCUGCCCUUUCUUUUUGAAUUUCUGAGGUUUUGAGUAAUUCUCGCACAUUGUUCAGGACAGCGGAGGGUACAGCUUCUCCUGUCUUUUUGUCAGUGAGGAGUCUUUCCACAGCUGUGAAUGACACUCACAAUGUCUUUAUCUGGUGGUGGAAAAUGGUUGUUUAAAAUAUCAUCUUUGUUAAAUUUAAUUGUAAAGUACCGAUUGUCUUCGUGGAUGAGAAGGUAAACACCUCUGCAGCAACAGUCAUCAAAAUAACUACACAGCAUGCGCCACAGCGUCCCUUUUCAUCAAUAACACAUCUGGACAAUGCUAUUGCGCUCACUCCAUGACUUCUUGACCCCCUUCAAGCUUGAUGACUGCAUCUUGUGUCACUGGAACAUAAUAGAAAAUAAAGAGUCUGAAACUUGACUGUUCUCACUUACUGCAUCACUAUGGAGAGUUUUCAUUUUAUAGCUAUGUGCAAGGGUCCAGAAAAAAGGAUGGUCUUCUUUGGGCCAAAAGGAGCA
RNAcentral lists this small RNA (1121 nucleotides) under Histoplasma capsulatum var. duboisii H88. Its description in RNAcentral is "Histoplasma capsulatum H88 hypothetical RNA". The record is from RNAcentral. Lineage: Eukaryota; Fungi; Ascomycota; Eurotiomycetes; Onygenales; Ajellomycetaceae.